GAUGAACGCUGGCGGCGUGCCUAAUACAUGCAAGUCGAACGCUUCACUUCGGUGAGAAUCGGCGAACGGGUGAGUAAUACAUAAAUAACCUGACAUCUAAGGGGGGAUAACUGAUGGAAACGUCAGCUAAGACCGCAUAGGUGUAGAGAUCGCAUGAACUCUAUAUGAAAAGUGCUACGGGACUGGUAGAUGAUGGACUUAUGGCGCAUUAGCUGGGUGGUAGGGUAACGGCCUACCAAGGCGACGAUGCGUACCCGACCUGAGAAGGAGACCGGCCACGCUGGGACUGAGACACGGCCCAGACUCCUACGGGAGGCAGCACUAAGUAAUUUUCGGCGAUGGGGGAAACCCUGACCGAGCAACGCCGCGUGAAGGAAGAAGUAAUUCGUUAUGUAAACUUCUGUCAUAGAGGAAGAACGGUGGAUAUACGGAAAGAUAUAACAAGUGACGGUACUUUAUAAGAAAGCCACGGCUAAGUACGUGCCAGCAGCGCGCGGUAAUACGUAGCAGGCGAGCACUAUCCGGAAUUAUUGGGAGUAAAGAGGGAGCAGGC
This 553-nucleotide ribosomal RNA is filed under the name uncultured bacterium. Its description in RNAcentral is "bacterial SSU rRNA". It matches the Rfam family "Bacterial small subunit ribosomal RNA", at positions 28 to 576 of the family's 1533-position model. The record is from RNAcentral.